RNAcentral lists this transfer RNA (70 nucleotides) under Camelus bactrianus (Bactrian camel). It matches the Rfam family "tRNA". From Rfam's summary of the family: Transfer RNA (tRNA) molecules are approximately 80 nucleotides in length. Lineage: Eukaryota; Metazoa; Chordata; Mammalia; Artiodactyla; Camelidae. RNAcentral also lists the same sequence under 2 other names. The record is from Rfam by way of RNAcentral.
GUGGGUAGCUCAGUGGCAGAGCGUGUGCUUGGCAGGUGUGAGGUCCUGGGUUCAAUCCCCAGUACCUCCA